CUCCAGCUACCCAAUCAAGAUUAUGAUGAGUGCCCCCAUUGUUUACCGGAUGUUGCUACAGCAGGAUCUUUCCAGGUGAUGGGGCUUUGAGGAUUGGUAAGAGAGUCUGGCCCCAUCCCCCUGACUCCCUCACAUACAUUCAUGCCUAUCUAUCUGAAUCUCUCGCACACAGAGAGCCCCAUGAAGCCAUUUGCAUCAUCAAAGCACCCAGAAACUAGGUCUAGGCCUGAGUGGACUUUGGUUCCAGGAAGGCUGAGGAGAAACACUUAUUUCUCUUCUUCAGUUACAAGUUCCCCCAUCUACAGAACUGCCUCGCUGGAGGGGAGUCCCUUCUUCCAGAAACUCUGGAGAACUGGAGGGCCCAGACAGGACUGGACAUCCGAGAAUUCUAUGGCCAGACAGAAACGGUACCUGUUCCCAGGGGAACCAUGGGCUGUGUGCCCUUUUUGGGCUUCAAAAUUCUCUUUGACAAUAAAACAUGUUAGCCACCAUGUAUCAUUCAUUUAUUUGAGAAAUAUUUAUUGAGCCUCUAUGAAGGGACAGGUACUGAGUAUUGAAAAUUCAGCACAGAACAAAACAGGCAAAGUUCCUGUUUUCUGGGAGAUUACAUUCCAGUGAGAUUUGGGGAGAGAGACAAUAAACUAAGAAAUAUCUAGCAUGGCAGGUGGUGAGAAAUGCGAUGGAAAAAGUAAAGUAGAUGACAUGGGGUGAGAAGUUGGUAAAUCACAUAUGGUAGUCAGAAAGUUCCUCUGUGAUGGGGAAACAUUUUAGCAGAGACCAAAGUUUAUCAAACAUGUCAAGCACUGUACAAAGCUGCUUAGACUGAAGUGAGGAAUGGGCAGAAGGACCCACCAUGGCUUUACUGCACCUCCUGAGAUAUCUUCUUGGAACUCUUGAGGUCUCAUGUGCACAAUGUGGAUUUAUACUAUUCUAUACUAUUUUACUUAUCAAAACUACAUGGGGAAUACUUUUCCCCAACUCUUCUUCUCCUUUUUCCAGUGCCUCUUACUUGUGACUCUCAGCACUUCUUGCCUCUUCCUCUCCACUCUCUUACCCUGCAUCCUUCUUUGACUAAUGAGUACCCUUGGUAGAACUUUUGCAGAGUGUUGAUGGCAGCUCUGUGGUAUGAAAGAGCCAGGAAGAGCUCUGCAAAUAUGAAUAAGGACAAUGGAGUUGUGGCAAGCAUACCCUGGCAGGGGCCUCCCACCAUUCAGAGGAGGACAUGUUUAGAAUAUGCUUAUAAGGACACUCAGAUUCCCAUGAUCUUAAUCACUCAGCAGCCUCUCUUCUGAGGGAUUAACUUGCAUAGUUUCCAAGACAAUGAAAAUCAAACCAGGAUACAUGGGAACGGCUGCUUCCUGUUAUGAUGUACAGGUUAUAGAUGAUAAGGGCAACAUCCUGCCCCCUGGCACAGAAGGAGACAUUGGCAUCAGGGUCAAACCCAUCAGGCCUAUAGGCAUCUUCUCUGGCUAUGUGGACAAUCCUGACAAGACAGCAGCCAACAUUCGAGGAGACUUUUGGCUCCUUGGAGACCGGGGAAUCAAAGAUGAAGAUGGGUAUUUCCAGUUUAUGGGACGGGCAGAUGAUAUCAUUAACUCCAGCGGGUACCGGAUUGGACCCUCGGAGGUAGAGAAUGCACUGAUGAAGCACCCUGCUGUGGUUGAGACGGCUGUGAUCAGCAGCCCAGACCCCGUCCGAGGAGAGGUGGUGAAGGCAUUUGUGGUCCUGGCCUCGCAGUUCCUAUCCCAUGACCCAGAACAGCUCACCAAGGAGCUGCAGCAGCAUGUGAAGUCGGUGACAGCCCCAUACAAGUACCCAAGAAAGAUAGAGUUUGUCUUGAACCUGCCCAAGACUGUCACAGGGAAAAUUCAACGAACCAAACUUCGAGACAAGGAGUGGAAGAUGUCCGGAAAAGCCCGUGCGCAGUGAGGCGUCUAGGAGACAUUCAUUUGGAUUCCCCUCUUCUUUCUCUUUCUUUUCCCUUUGGGCCCUUGGCCUUCCUAUGAUGAUAUGAGAUUCUUUAUGAAAGAACAUGAAUGUAAGUUUUGUCUUGCCCUGGUUAUUAGCACAAAACAUUACUAUGUUAGAUAUUGAAAGAAGAAAGGGAAGGAAUGAGAGAGAGUGAAAAGGAGAGGGUAACAGAAAAAGAGGAAAGAAAAGUAAGUCAGGGAAAUAUUAAAAACUGCAAGAGAAAGCAAUUGAAAAAGAAAUAAAGUAGGGAGGGAAGGCGAGAGGAAGCAAGGGAAGGAGGAAGAAAGGAAAGAGGAGAUGAAAGGUGGAGAAAAGAUAGAAGAAAGAUAAUUGAAGGGAGAAUCAGAAAAAUAAAGAGAAGAAAGGAAAGAAAUAAAGAGAGAAAGAGAAAGAAGAAAGAGCAAAAGAACACAAGAAAGAAAUAGAGGGAGAAAGAGAGGGAGAAAGGGAGAGAAAAAAAUUUUAAAAAUAAAAAUAGUAAAAGAAACUGAU
This 2463-nucleotide small RNA is filed under the name Pan troglodytes (chimpanzee). RNAcentral's name for it is "retained intron". The record is from RNAcentral. Lineage: Eukaryota; Metazoa; Chordata; Mammalia; Primates; Hominidae.